Molecule: small nucleolar RNA, 108 nt
Organism: Dendrobium catenatum
Lineage: Eukaryota; Viridiplantae; Streptophyta; Magnoliopsida; Asparagales; Orchidaceae
Source: RefSeq, a predicted model, not a curated record
AAUGCAUGAUGUGGGCAUUUUUUAAGCAUUUUUUUUAAAUCUUUCCCAACUCUCAUAAAUGGAUUCUUCUUUAAACUGAGUAAAAGAAGUUAUGCCAUUUCUAAAUUU